UACGAAGGGGGCUAGCGUUGUUCGGAAUUACUGGGCGUAAAGGGCGCGUAGGCGGCCACCGCAAGUCGACUGUGAAAUCUCCGGGCCUAACCCGGAAAGGUCAGCCGAUACUGCGGGGCUAGAGUGCAGAAGGGGCAACUGGAAUUCUCGGUGUAGCGGUGAAAUGCGUAGAUAUCGAGAGGAACACCUGCGGCGAAGGCGGGUUGCUGGGCUGACACUGACGCUGAGGCGCGAAAGCUAGGGGAGCGAACGGG
This 254-nucleotide ribosomal RNA is filed under the name uncultured bacterium. RNAcentral's name for it is "partial 16S ribosomal RNA". It matches the Rfam family "Bacterial small subunit ribosomal RNA", at positions 524 to 776 of the family's 1533-position model. The record is from RNAcentral.